Molecule: ribosomal RNA, 520 nt
Filed under: uncultured bacterium
Lineage: Bacteria
Description: bacterial SSU rRNA
Rfam family: Bacterial small subunit ribosomal RNA
Source: RNAcentral
AAUAGAUACCCGGGUAGUCCACGCCGUAAACGAUGAGUGCUAAGUGUUGGAGGGUUUCCGCCCUUCAGUGCUGCAGCUAACGCAUUAAGCACUCCGCCUGGGGAGUACGGUCGCAAGACUGAAACUCAAAGGAAUUGACGGGGGCCCGCACAAGCGGUGGAGCAUGUGGUUUAAUUCGAAGCAACGCGAAGAACCUUACCAGGUCUUGACAUCUCCUGACCGCCCUGGAGACAGGGUCUUCCCUUCGGGGACAGGAUGACAGGUGGUGCAUGGUUGUCGUCAGCUCGUGUCGUGAGAUGUUGGGUUAAGUCCCGCAACGAGCGCAACCCUUGGUUCUAGUUGCCAGCAUUGAGUUGGGCACUCUAGAGCGACUGCCGGCGACAAGUCGGAGGAAGGUGGGGAUGACGUCAAAUCAUCAUGCCCCUUAUGACCUGGGCUACACACGUGCUACAAUGGAUGGUACAAAGGGCAGCAAAGCGGCGACGCAUGAGCGAAUCCCAGAAAACCAUUCUCAGUUCGG